Molecule: non-coding RNA, 133 nt
Organism: Arabidopsis suecica
Lineage: Eukaryota; Viridiplantae; Streptophyta; Magnoliopsida; Brassicales; Brassicaceae
Source: the annotation of a GenBank genome assembly
AAGCCAUGAUGAGGGCAUUGGUUGGUGUAACCCUUGAAACGCUCCCAUGCUUCACAGAAGCUUUCACUAGUCUUCUGUGAAAAGCCAGAAAUGAAAGCUUCUGUGAAAAGCCAGAAAUUUCAUUUCUGAGUCU